This 253-nucleotide ribosomal RNA is filed under the name uncultured bacterium. RNAcentral describes it as "partial 16S ribosomal RNA". It matches the Rfam family "Bacterial small subunit ribosomal RNA", at positions 524 to 776 of the family's 1533-position model. The record is from RNAcentral.
UACGUAGGGGGCAAGCGUUAUCCGGAUUUACUGGGUGUAAAGGGAGCGUAGGCGGUUCAGCAAGUCAGAAGUGAAAGCCCGGGGCUCAACUCCGGGACUGCUUUUGAAACUGUUGAACUAGAUUGCAGGAGAGGUAAGUGGAAUUCCUAGUGUAGCGGUGAAAUGCGUAGAUAUUAGGAGGAACACCAGUGGCGAAGGCGGCCUACUGGACGGUGACUGACGCUGAGGCUCGAAAGCGUGGGGAGCAAACAGG